AGGUCACCUGGCCAGCGUCCACUCACAGGUUGACGGGCAAUUUUUGGCUGCUCACAUGCGACCAGGAUAUUGGUCUUGGCUGGGACUCAGCCGGAACCAUGGCGACUUGGAGUGGUGCGACGGAUCAACUACAUAUGACGCCCCGUGGUAUCUUCCGAAAUUUCCAUAUGCCUGCUCCAAAUUGACGACUGCUGCUGAAGUUUACAUAGACACUUGCGAUACCCUUCGUCCAUCCAUCUGUCAAAAAGGCAAGGCCAGAGAUUCUCUUCCGCUUCUCCCAGCGCCGACAU
Molecule: long non-coding RNA, 290 nt
Organism: Syngnathus acus (greater pipefish)
Lineage: Eukaryota; Metazoa; Chordata; Actinopteri; Syngnathiformes; Syngnathidae
Exons: 4
Source: RefSeq, a predicted model, not a curated record